AUUGAACGCUGGCGGCGUGCUUAACACAUGCAAGUCGAUCGGUAACAGGUGUAGCAAUACAUGCUGACGAGAGGCGGACGGGUGAGUAACGCUUGGGAAUCUGCCUAUUAGUGGGGGACAACCCGGGGAAACUCGGGCUAAUACCGCAUACGCUCUACGGAGGAAAGCCGGGGACCGCAAGGCCUGGCGCUAAUAGAUGAGCCCAAGUCGGAUUAGCUAGUUGGUAGGGUAACGGCCUACCAAGGCGACAAUCCGUAGCUGGUCUGAGAGGACGACCAGCCACACCGGAACUGAGACACGGUCCGGACUCCUACGGGAGGCAGCAGUGGGGAAUAUUGGACAAUGGGGGCAACCCUGAUCCAGCGACGCCGCGUGGGUGAAGAAGGCCUGCGGGUUGUAAAGCCCUUUCGGUGGGGAAGAAAAGUCUCGACCUAAUACGUCGGGACCUUGACGUAACCCACUAAAGAAGCACCGGCUAACUCUGUGCCAGCAGCCGCCGUAAC
RNAcentral lists this ribosomal RNA (503 nucleotides) under uncultured bacterium. RNAcentral describes it as "bacterial SSU rRNA". It matches the Rfam family "Bacterial small subunit ribosomal RNA", at positions 29 to 524 of the family's 1533-position model. The record is from RNAcentral.